This 85-nucleotide transfer RNA is filed under the name Pleurotus ostreatus PC15. It matches the Rfam family "tRNA". Rfam says of the family: Transfer RNA (tRNA) molecules are approximately 80 nucleotides in length. Lineage: Eukaryota; Fungi; Basidiomycota; Agaricomycetes; Agaricales; Pleurotaceae. The record is from Rfam by way of RNAcentral.
GCCCGCGUUGUCUAAUGGCUAUGACGUCAGACUUCUAUCGAGUAAGAGGAUCUGGAGGUUGCGGGUUCGAGUCCCGCCGUGGGUU